Molecule: ribosomal RNA, 924 nt
Filed under: Oxydothis daemonoropsicola
Lineage: Eukaryota; Fungi; Ascomycota; Sordariomycetes; Amphisphaeriales; Oxydothidaceae
Description: eukaryotic LSU rRNA
Rfam family: Eukaryotic large subunit ribosomal RNA
Source: RNAcentral
CACUAGACUAGCCGAGGUGCCCUCUGAUCUUCCCCUGAAGUGAGCCAAAUUUCCCCCAAAUUUAUCUGGCUUUCGGGCCCGAAUUGUAAUUUGUAAAGGAUGCUUUUGGCGCGGUGCCUUCCCCGUUCCCUGGNNCGGGACGCCUUNGNAGGGUGAGAGCCCCGUACGGUUGGAUACCUAGCCUCUGUAAAGCUCCUUCGACGAGUCGAGUAGUUUGGGAAUGCUGCUCUAAAUGGGAGGUAAAUUUCUUCUAAAGCUAAAUACCGGCCCAAGACCGAUAGCGCACAAGUAGAGUGAUCGAAAGAUGAAAAGCACUUUGAAAAGAGGGUUAAAUAGCACGUGAAAUUGUUGAAAGGGAAGCGUUUGCGACCAGACUUUUUCCGGGCGGAUCAUCCGGUGUUCUCACCGGUGCACUUCGCCUGGUUUAGGCCAGCAUCGGUUUUCGUGGGGGGAUAAAAGCUUCGGGAAUGUGGCUCCUUCGGGAGUGUUAUAGCCCUCUGCAUAAUACCCUCCGGGGGACCGAGGAUCGCGCUCUGCAAGGAUGCUGGCGUAAUGGUCAUCAACGACCCCUCUUGAAACACGGACCAAGGAGUCGAACAUUUGUGCGAGUGUUUGGGUGUUAAACCCUCCCGCGUAAUGAAAGUGAACGGAGGUGAAAGCCUUUCGGGGUGUUGAUCGACCGAUCCUGAUGUUUUCGGAUGGAUUUGANUAAGAGCAUAACUGUUCGGACCCGAAAGAUGGUGAACAUAUGCUUGGAUAGGGUGAAGCCAGAGGAAACUCUGGUGGAGGCUCCGCAGCGGUUCUGACGUGCAAAUCGAUCAUCAAAUCUGCNGCAUGGGGGCGAAAGACUAAUCGAACCAUCUAGUAGCUGGUUACCGCCGAAGUAUCCCUCCGGAAAAAACGAAGGGUAAAAUUUUCAUCCCU